GAUGAACGCUGGCGGCGUGCCUAAUACAUGCAAGUCGAGCGAACAGACGAGGAGCUUGCUCCUCUGACGUUAGCGGCGGACGGGUGAGUAACACGUGUAUAACCUACCUAUAAGACUGGGAUAACUUCGGGAAACCGGAGCUAAUACCGGAUAAUAUCUUGAACCGCAUGGUUCAAUAGUGAAAGACGGUUUUGCUGUCACUUCUAGCUGGAUCCGCGCCGCAUUAGCUAGUUGGUAAGGUAACGGCUUAUCAAGGCAACGAUGCGUAGCCGACCUGAGAGAGUGAUAGGCCACACAGGAACUGAGACACGGUCAAGACUCCUACGGGAGGCAGCAGUAGGGAAUCUUCAGCAAUGGGCGAAAGCCUGACGGAGAAACGCCGCGUGAGUGAUGAAGGUCUUCGGAUCGUAAAAAUCUGUUAUUAGGGAAGAACAAAUGUGUAAGUAAAUAUGCACGUCUUGACGGUACCUAAUCAGAAAGCCACGGCUAACUACGUG
This 497-nucleotide ribosomal RNA is filed under the name uncultured bacterium. RNAcentral's name for it is "partial 16S ribosomal RNA". It matches the Rfam family "Bacterial small subunit ribosomal RNA", at positions 28 to 507 of the family's 1533-position model. The record is from RNAcentral.